RNAcentral lists this ribosomal RNA (482 nucleotides) under uncultured bacterium. RNAcentral's name for it is "partial 16S ribosomal RNA". It matches the Rfam family "Bacterial small subunit ribosomal RNA", at positions 29 to 507 of the family's 1533-position model. The record is from RNAcentral.
AUUGAACGCUGGCGGCAUGCCUAACACAUGCAAGUCGAACGGUAACAGGUCUUCGGAUGCUGACGAGCGGCGGACGGGGGCGGAAUACAUCGGAACGUGCCCGAUCGUGGGGGGUAACGAGGCGCAAGGUGUGCUAAUACCGCAUACGAUCUACGGAAGAAAGCGGGGGAGCUCCGGACCUCGCGCGGACGGAGCGGCCGAUGGCAGAUGAGGUCGUUGGUGGGAUAAAAGCUUACCAAGCCGACGAUCUGUAGCUGGUCUGAGAGGAUGAUCAGCCACACUGGGACUGAGACACGGCCCAGACUCCUACGGGAGGCAGCAGUGGGGAAUUUUGGACAAUGGGCGAAAGCCUGAUCCAGCCAUGCCGCGUGCAGGAUGAAGGCCUUCGGGUUGUAAACUUCUGUUGUACGGAACGAAAAGCCUCUUUCUAAUAUAGAGGGGUCAUGACGGUACCGUAAGAAUAAGCACCGGCUAACUACGUG